GACGAACGCUGGCGGCGUGCUUAACACAUGCAAGUCGAACGGAAAGGCCCCUUUGGGGGUACUCGAGGGGCGAACGGGUGAGUAACACGUGGGUAACCUGCCCUUGACACCGGGACGACGUCAGGAAAGUAGGGCUAAUACCGGUUAGGAAUCCUUCCUGCUUGGGGGGGGUUGGAAAGAUUCUGGGGCCUUGGGUGGACUCGCGGGCUAUUGGCUUGUUGGUGAGGUGGUGGCUUACCAGGGCGCUGAGGCGUAGACGGCCUGUGGGGGCGACCGGCCACACUGGGACUGAGAUGCGGCCCCGACGCCGACGGGUGGCAGAAGUGGGGAAUAUUGCACAAGGGGCGGAAGCUUGAUGCAGCAACGCCGCGGGCGGGAUGACCGUCUUCUGGUUGUAAACCGCUUUCAGCAGGGGAAACGCUUGUGGUGACGGUACCUGCAGAAGAAGCACCGGCUAACUACGUG
Molecule: ribosomal RNA, 465 nt
Filed under: uncultured bacterium
Lineage: Bacteria
Description: partial 16S ribosomal RNA
Rfam family: Bacterial small subunit ribosomal RNA
Source: RNAcentral